UGUGGGGUUAGCCUCAUUUGUUUCUCAUUUCUUGAGGAUCACUGUCUUUUGAUGCUUGAUUCCAGUGAUUGAUUCCCUUUGUUGCUUGAGGGCCAUAGUUUCAUAUAUUUUGUCCAGUAUUUUUGUUGUUUUAGGUCAGAAAGUAAUUUUGGUCUCUGUUACUCCAUCUUGGCCGGAAGUGUAAGACCUAAGUGUUUACACAUCAAAAUACUGCACACAUAAUUUUAGUUUAAGCUACUUGUUAAAAAAUGUCCUUCAUUUUCCAUUUAGCAUUCUAUUUAGGGUAUUACAAUGUUUUUUUUUUUAAUUCUGUUAUUGGCAGUUUCUAUUGCCUAACAAUCCCAUUUAAAGAUAGUGCAUAGGGUAUUCUAAAAUAGCUGUUAAGCAAAGAGAAAAUUGGGCCUGAUAGGGUGAGAAUCACAGCUCUAAUACCUAGAGUGACCUUAUAAUGUAUUGUCAAAAGGAGAUAUUUUUGACAGUGAAAGAGGGUGUUCUUAGUAAUUAUAUCAGGACCAUGGCCUAAACCAGGACUAUCCCAGGCAGCCUGGGACAUAUUUGUACCCCAUCUCUAUUUAAUGCCUUUAUACAAUUCUUUACUUAAUUCUACCAGCCUUUAUUGAGCCUGCUUUCUUUGUCUAGCUGAGUGCCACGUGCUGACAUCACUAAGAUCAAUACAGCAAACUCUGAAAGAUGGACAGGGAGACAGGAGAUGGUCCUUUAUAAUGCAGUGUGAUCUGUGCUGCAAUAGAGUUUUGGAAGCUAGAAGUUCAAAACGAGGUGUUGGCAGCACCAUGCUCUCUCUGAAGAUGCUAGGAAGAAUCUGCUCCAUGCCUUUCCAUUCGCUUCUGGGGUUUCCUGCAAGCCCUGACAUUCCUUGGCUUGUAGAUGCAUCACCCCAGUUUCUGCCCCCAUCAUCACAUGGCCUCCUCUCUGCGUGUGCCUCUGCAUUCCCUCUAUUCUUCUUCUAAGGACACCGACACCAGUCAUAGUGGAUUAAGGGUCCACUCCUAACUAAUUACAUCUGCAACAACCCUAUUUCCAAAUAAAGUCACAUUCUCAGAUUCCUAGGGAGAACAUGAAUUUUUGGGGGUGUGUGGAUACUGUUCAACCUGGGACAUGGAGUAAAUAAAUGGCAAGGAAGAUUACAGAUGACUUUAAGCUAAAGAGGGAGAUAGGGUUAAAUGUAGGACUUUUUUUUUUUUCCAGGACGGGAGAGGUUUAAACAUGUUACUACAUUGAAUAAAUGAAAUAACCAUGGACACGGAGUGGCUAAAGAUUCUGAACUAAGUGCAAGGAAUUGAUAGCGCAAGCUCCCAAGGGGCUGGGGCCUGGAGCGCAGAUGGAUGGAUCCACUGUGGGCAGAACUGGGGCAUGGGAGGGGUGUGCCGAUGCAGAUGUGUUUGAGUGUGGGUGGCCAGAAGCUGAUUGGGGUGAAGCGUGACAGUGCAGCUCCAAGCACGCUGGAGGUGUUCACCAAGCAACUCAAGAGCAGAUGGCAGAACGAGCAGCUGAAAUAACAGCUUGUGAAAUCAACCCUACUUCGUGGGGAGAGGAUUGGUUAAGAAUUCUAGCCAUGAGAAGCAAGAAGAGGAGGAUAAUCUGUUCAUGCCUAUUAUGGGGCUAUGGGGGAGCAGUUUCAGCCUCAUCCUGGAGAAUGUUUUAGAAGGCCAGAGAAAGGAACCCUGCAAAUCACGUGAGCUGGCCCCUCACUUUGAGAUGAAGUGUCCAUACAGCAGUAACGCCACCCUCUGUAGUGGUUCUAGAGUGUGGCAAUCUGGAGGGGUCAUUAUGGAAAACGACUGAAGCAUAAGAAUGUAGGCCCAAUACUGAGAUAGAAAGAGGAUUCUCUGAGAUGACUUAGGCAGGGUGAUGGUGGUGGAGGUGGGUGUAAGAAGCCCUCUGCUGCCUCAGUCCGAGCAUGGAAUUCAAUUGGUCAAGAGCAGAGCCAAUCACCAUUUAGGCCCCCUUGUUAGCCUUAAUUUAUUCCUCAGGUAUGGAGAAUACUCCUCAAGAUGCAUUCAGAGUGUAAGCUACCUCUUCCUCAGCAGACGACUGCCCUGCAGGUUUGCAGUUCUGUCAUUUGGAAACUCCCUGAUGUGUCCCUUGGCUCUUCCCAUUCUUUUGCUUCAACACAUUUUAAGACCAGGCACCUUAGCUGCAGAAACAGCAUGAAAAACAAGUAGGUUUCAGGAAAAAUUAUCCCAAGUGGAGUCUCUACUGUGCUCUGUUUCUCAGAUGUAAAGCUUAAAACAGUGUAAGAGUUUUUAGAGAGUGUAUUCAUAUCACACCAGUUUUGGGUCCAUAGACAGGGGCUUUUUCUAGAUCAAACCGUUCAAUUGUCCUGUUGAUCCUGGCCUAAAAUCUGAGUGGGUAAAGAAUAUUUUAGGAGAGAUGAGAUUCUAACCCUCAAUGGCAAAAAGCAGGGCUGAGCCCUAAGCCCACGUUUUUACACAUAUUUUACAAUUGAAUGUGUUGCACUACCGCUAGAACACUAGUUCUCAACCAGGGGCGAUUUUGCUUUCCAGGGGACAUUGGCAAUGUCUGGAGACAUUUUUUUUUCCAUUUUCAAAAAUUGUGGCAAAGCACAAAACAUCAAAUUAGCCAUUUGAACCAUUUUCAUGUGUAUAGUUCAGUGGCACUAAGCACCUUCACACUGAUGUGCAACCAUCACCACCAUCCAUCCAUAGAACUCUUUUCAUUUUGCAAAACUGUAACUCUGUACCCACUAAACACUAACUCGCCAUUUCCCUCUUCUCCCAGCCCCUGACAACCAUCAUUUGACUUUCUGUCUCCAUGAUUUUGACUACUCUAGGUACCUCAAAUAAGUGGAAUCAUACUGUUGAGGGAUUUUUGAUGGUCACAACUUGGGAUGGGGUGCUGCUGGUGUCUAGUGGGUAAAGGCUAGGGAGGCCACUUAACAUCCUGCAAUGCACAGGAUGGUCCCCACAAGAAAGCAAUAACUAACCACAAAUGUCAAUCCUACCAAAAUUGAGAAACUCUGAGCUAGAAAAAUCCCAUGAGUAAUCUUACACCAUGGAGUAUCAGUCAAUAGAGAAUAGUUAUGUUGCAAUAAGAAACCACCUCCAAAUUUCUGUGGUUUAAAACAACUUAUAUUUUUGCUCUAACAUGGAGCACCCUUAAUCAGCAAUCCGGGCUGGUGGGAGUUCCAUCCUGACCUGGGCUUCUACGAUGAUAAAUUGUGCACUGGCUUUUAAAGCUCCCAUUGGAAGUGUCCAGGUCAUUUUCGGUCACACUUUCUUGGCCAGAUCAAAUCACAGGUCCACAUCUCACUUCAAAGGGAGGAAGGAAGUGCAUUUUUACUCUGAGGAAAUACAACCACCGCACCUAGCAAUUAAAAAUAAACCUCAUAGUGUUAUCACCUGCUUGAACUGCUGCUAUCAGAGCAAGAAUACCAGUAGGAGUGGUGCAGGCUGCAGGUUUUUGGUUUUGUUUUGUUUUGUUUUUGGAGACUGCACUCCAGCCUUAGUCUGUCAUGCAGGCUGGAGUACAGUGGUGUCAUCACAGCUUAUUGCAGCCUUGACCUCCCCACACAAGCGAUCCUCCCACUUCAGCCUCCUGAAUAGUUGAGACUACAGGCCCGUGCCACCACGCCCAGUUAAUUUUUUGUAUUUUUUUGUAGAGAUGGGGUUUCACUAUGUUGCCUAGACUGGUCUUGAACUCCUGGAUGCAAGUGAUCCACUUGCCUCGGCCUCCCAAAGUGCUGGGAUUACAGGCGUGAGCCACCAUGCCUGGCCUAGAAGCUCAUUCUUAUUGGCCAGAAGCUAGAGAGUGAUCUAAAGACUCCAAGCCAGGCCAGACUUGUUUCAAGCCUUAGGGCUAGUGUAUUAAUGAAUGAGGUUCGAACUUCUAUGGCAUGGGAACUGAGGGGCACCACAACACUCAGCUUACUCAAGGGACCAAUUCUAGCAGCCUUCAAAGGAGUCUGAAAAAGGUAGCCUUGAAUUAGUUUCCGGGUGAAAAAUAUUUGUCCCAGUUGAAGCAAGUACUACUAGUGACUGCCUCUGCUAUGGAAGCAGGGGUUACCUGCUUACCUGUGAGCAAUAGGAUUUCUUGGGGUUGAUUUUGCAGGAACAUGUACCUCCAUGUGGCCAAACAAGCAGGCUUGCUUAGAUUUGCACCACAGGAUAUUAAAGUGGAAAGGAAUCUUAAACAUCUAAUUGAGGGAUGGCAAAUUGGGUUCAUUGUAAGAGUCACCUCUGACCCUUUGGUUGUGGCUGCUAGGAGCACUGGGUGGAAAGAAUUCCGUAGUUUUUUCCAGAGAGAGACAGCCACGCUUCAUUAGAGAGUCUAGUGGGCAUGGAAGGGAGGGGGUGAGUUGUUGUGCCUGUAACAGGAUUUUGCCAUCACUAGUUCUAAUCCAACACUUUGAGAGCUGAGGCUCAGCUCCAAGAGUGAUUUAUAGAGGUCCUUCCUUUAUUGCUUUUAUGUCACCACAUCUAGAAUUAGGUCUUCUGCUUCAAAGAAAGUCAGCUGCCUUAUUACCAUGUAGCAUAGUUAGAUUCCCCAUUUCACCUAGAAAAUAAAUAUUUAUUGAGGGCUGGCCAAGUGUGGUGGCUCACGCCUGUAAUCCCCGCAUUUUGGGAGGCCAAGGUGGUUGGAUCAUUUGAGGUCAGGAGUUCGAGACCAGCCUGGCCAACAUGGUGAAACCCUGUUUCUACUAAAAAUACAAAAAUUAGCCAGAAAUCCCUUGAACCCAGGAGACGGAGGUUGCAGCGAGCCAAGAUCGCACCACUGCACUCCAGCCUGGGUGGAAGAGAGAGAUUCCAUCUCAAAAAAUAAAAUAAAUAAAUAAAUAAAUUCACAAAAAUAUUUAUUGAGGGCCCACUUGGUUUUUAGCAGUGAAAUAGGAGCCGAACAUAGAGCAGUGAAUGAAUAGGCCAAGUCCCUGCUCUUCUUGGCCUUACAUUUUGGGGGAGGAGACAGAUUAGUAAUUAUUAGGAGAAUUAUUAGUAAUUAUUAGGAGAAAGCAGGAAAUUUCUGCUUUCAUGGGUGGGAUACCAGAAGGUAAAUCAUUAUGCAAGGAUAUUUGGGGAAAAGUUUCUAUAGCAUAGAUGUAUUUUAGGAUGAUUGGGGCUGUGUGUUGUGAGCACGGGAUCUCUGAGGCAGUCAAAGGGCACCAGGAACCUCAUCUCUUAAGACGUGCAUGCACCGUAGGCUGCCUUUGUGUCCCUCACUCUGGCCAAGCUCCCUUCUUUAUCAUGGCCUUUGCACUUGCUGUUCUCUGUCUGGGGAAGAAUGCUCUUUCCCUAGAGAUCCAAAUGGCUCACUCCUUCAGUGUCUUCAAAUCUCUGUCAAAUGUCACCUAAACAGAGAGGCUUUCCCUGGCCUCUAGAGGACAAAGUAGCACAUUUUCUCACCCACUUACCCUGCUCAUCCUUCUUUAUAGCACCCCUCACCACCUGCUGUAUUAUUUGUUUAUCGUUCAGCUUUCUCAGCUUUCUCUCUAAAAUGGAAGAUCUAUGAGAACAAGAACCUGUCUGCUCAUUGAGGUGUUCCUCUAGAAAAAUGUCUGGCCCAUAGCAGGUGCUUAAUCAACAAUUUCUGAAGGAAAAGUGGAGGAAAAAAAGAUAGGAGAAAGCAAACUCAUGAAGAAGAGUGCUUGGGUGGGGUGGGAGGAGAAGAGGGCAAUGGAUCCAGGCCCUACAGGGAUUCACUGUUCAAGCAGAAAGUCCAGGGAAAGCCACAUGGCCUCCUUCAAUCGGAAGAGCUGGAGCUGCUGAUAUCCCCUGCAACCUGGGAGCCAGUGCGUGCAAUUCUCCAGCUGGGUCUAAGGACAGAAGGAGGCUAAUGAACAGCCACCUUCGGAGCAACAGGGUCACUUCAGUCCUCCCUGUUUACUUCCAAGCUGCUGAGAGUCUUAUGCACAUUUCCUCUUCUCACUUGCCUCUUCACAUCCCUAGCUGCCGCAGGAAUUUAUGGCUUAAUUAAAGUGGGAAGCAGGGUUUAUACAUGUUUAUAUAAAGUUAUAUUUUCCUCCACCUCUUUGAUGGAAGAAAACUCAAAUGUUAAAAUUCUUAGGAGCCCAGGAGUUCGAGACUAGCCUGGGAAACAUUGCAACCCCAUCUCUACAAAGAAUAAAAAAAUUAGCUGGGAGUGGUGGUCCCAGCUACUUGGGAGGCUGAGGCAGGAGAAUCAUUUGAGCCCAGGAGGUUGAGGCUGCAGUGAGCCAUGUUAGUGCCAUUGCACACCAGCCUGGGUGACAGUGAGAUCUUGUUUAAAAAUGAAGAAAGAAAGAAACACCUAGAAAGGACACUAGAGAUAAAUCUAGUUCAUGCUCCUUGUUUUCUAUGGGAGGACACUGAGGUCCAGGGUCACACAACUCACAAAUGGCCAGCCUACAGAAACCCUGUAAGAGGCAGAGUAUGAGGAAAAGGCAGGCACUUGUGAUAACCCCACUGGUGGGCAGGAGCUAAGCCUCCAUAGGUGGGGAAGGGAAUUAACCCCAGGACACAGGCUCCAGUCUGGGGGCUUGAGAUGCUCAGGGGACACCAGUUAGAACUAAAGCAGGAGGCCAAGGCAGAAGCUGUGCUCCUCUGCCUGGAUGUAUGAGGGCAGCAGAGGAAGAAGAGUUGGCAAAGCAGCCCAGAAACACAUGAAGAGGAGGAGUGAAUGUAAGUAGAGCAUGCCAGAGAUGGCAGAUCAAGGCAGGGAGUUAAAUUGAAGGAGGAGGCAGCCGCGGCCAAGGGUGCACAGUGAUUCAAAGUUACAGUUGGUUAUGGGCUGAGGAAACAGCUUUCUGUUUCACUGCUGUGAGAGGCAACCAGGUUGCAAGGAAAGGAGGGGAAGAGGGAGGCGUUAACAUGGAGGAGUGAAUGUAGACAGAACCUUCCAGAUGUUGGCUGAAGAUAGAAAGGAGAGGGAGGAGGGGUUCUGGAGGGAGAAAGAAGUUAAAGAGUAUUUUUUUAUAUGGGGAGAUAUGGGAGUUUUGGGUUUUAUUUUUGGCUUGUGAGAAUGAGCUAAUCUUGUAUAAAGGGAUUAAAGAUUUUUUAAAAACUUUA
This is a long non-coding RNA of Pan troglodytes (chimpanzee), 7019 nucleotides long. RefSeq lists it as uncharacterized. The transcript is spliced from 2 exons. Lineage: Eukaryota; Metazoa; Chordata; Mammalia; Primates; Hominidae. The record is from RefSeq and is a predicted model, not a curated record.